This 630-nucleotide ribosomal RNA is filed under the name Hoplolaimus indicus. RNAcentral describes it as "eukaryotic LSU rRNA". It matches the Rfam family "Eukaryotic large subunit ribosomal RNA", at positions 422 to 882 of the family's 3401-position model. The record is from RNAcentral. Lineage: Eukaryota; Metazoa; Nematoda; Chromadorea; Rhabditida; Hoplolaimidae.
GACAGAGCUGGCGUAUGCUGGCCUGCAUUCAGCCUUGGAGCAUCUGGCGUUGUGGUGUUGCUCUCCAGAUUGGGACAGCAUUGCUUCUGCCGGGUGAACCGUGGUGCAUUUGCAGGUGGAGUGCGCCGAGGCGCCUGAGUCAGCGGCAUGAGCUUGGUUCUGAGGCCAGCCUUGCAAAAGGUCUGGUACCCGUGCUGGGGGAGUGCUGUUUGACUUGGGUGGUGGUAUGGGGCAAUGGUUUCGGGCUCGUGUGGGUGCCGAGCUGGCAGUCGGUGGCGGUCGCAUGCGACACGUGCCAGCGGUCAGUUCGGUCCUGCUCGAGCUCUCACAGCCCGUCCUCGGUGUAAAAGGCAGUCAUCUGUCCGACCCGUCUUGAAACACGGACCAAGGAGUUUAGCGUGUGCGCGAGUCAUUGGGUGUUGAAAACCCAAAGGCGCAAUGAAAGUGAAGGUGUCCCUUGUGGAACUGAUGUGUGAUCCUGGUCACCUCGGUGCAUCCGGGCGCAACAUAGUCCCGUCCUGACCGCUUGCGGUGGGGCGGAGACAGAGCGUACGCGCUGAGACCCGAAAGAUGGUGAACUAUUCCUGAGCAGGAUGAAGCCAGAGGAAACUCUGGUGGAAGUCCGAAGCG